UACGUAGGGGGCAAGCGUUGUCCGGAAUCAUUGGGCGUAAAGAGCGCGUAGGCGGUCCGGUAAGUCCGCUCUGAAAGUCCGGGGCUCAACCCCGGGAGGCGGGCGGAUACUGUCGGGCUAGAGUCCGGAAGAGGCGAGUGGAAUUCCUGGUGUAGCGGUGAAAUGCGCAGAUAUCAGGAGGAACACCGGUGGCGAAGGCGGAUCUCUGGGCCGUAACUGACGCUGAGGAGCGAAAGCAUGGGGAGCGAACAGGA
This 254-nucleotide ribosomal RNA is filed under the name uncultured bacterium. RNAcentral describes it as "partial 16S ribosomal RNA". It matches the Rfam family "Bacterial small subunit ribosomal RNA", at positions 524 to 777 of the family's 1533-position model. The record is from RNAcentral.